Molecule: ribosomal RNA, 522 nt
Filed under: Triticum aestivum (bread wheat)
Lineage: Eukaryota; Viridiplantae; Streptophyta; Magnoliopsida; Poales; Poaceae
Description: partial small subunit ribosomal RNA
Source: RNAcentral
AUGACUAAAACGCCGAAGGAGGAAACCAUAUCUGCCAUCCACGAUGCACGAGCCCAGCACAUGCUCCGUCUUCCAGAUGUCGUCGAUGCAGACCACAAUCUGCAUCCGCUCCUGGACUACCUCCCAAGCUCCGCGUCGACGCUGGAGCAAACGCCAUUGCAACGGCGGAGCCCGAGGACACAGAUCUCACUGAGAUGGAUCUUCGAGCAAGGAGCGAGCAUGGUAGCCAAGAGUAAGAAAAAGGAGAGGCUUCAGGAGAACCUAGGAAUCUUUGACUGGGAACUGACGGACGAAGACCGGUUCAAGAUUACUCGGAUACGGCAGUACAAGAAGGUCACGGUGCUGGCGAUCCUCUGCCCUGAAGGUGUCCCUGGCGUCGAUAUGUCGGAGGUUGAUGUGGUUGAAACAUUUGGUGGUGAGAUGCUUCUGGUGGUGCUACCUGUGCCCUACCUGGAUGAGGUCCUGCUUGGCAUCAUCAAUUGUGAUGAUCCUGACGGGUUCCCCUACAGUGCUGGUGGGUAG